Molecule: ribosomal RNA, 427 nt
Filed under: uncultured bacterium
Lineage: Bacteria
Description: partial 16S ribosomal RNA
Rfam family: Bacterial small subunit ribosomal RNA
Source: RNAcentral
GUGGGGAAUAUUGGGCAAUGGGGGAAACCCUGACCCAGCGACGCCGCGUGAGGGAAGAAGGCCUUAGGGUCGUAAACCUCUGUUGUGUGGGAAGAAGAGCGUGACGGUACCACACGAGGAAGUCCCGGCUAACUACGUGCCAGCAGCCGCGGUAAUACGUAGGGGACGAGCGUUGUCCGGAUUUACUGGGCGUAAAGGGCGCGUAGGCGGUCAUUUAAGUCAGCUGUGAAAUGGUUUGGCUUAACCGGAUCAUGCGGUUGAAACUGGAUGACUGGAGUGCUGGAGAGGCAAGUGGAAUUCCCAGUGUAGCGGUGAAAUGCGUAGAUAUUGGGAAGAACACCGGUGGCGAAGGCGACUUGCUGGCCAGCAACUGACGCUGAGGCGCGAAAGCCAGGGGAGCAAACGGGAUUAGAAACCCUAGUAGUCC